RNAcentral lists this ribosomal RNA (253 nucleotides) under uncultured bacterium. RNAcentral describes it as "partial 16S ribosomal RNA". It matches the Rfam family "Bacterial small subunit ribosomal RNA", at positions 524 to 776 of the family's 1533-position model. The record is from RNAcentral.
UACAGAGGGGGCAAGCGUUAUUCGGAAUUAUUGGGCGUAAAGGGCGCGUAGGCGGCCUGGCAAGUGGAAGGUGAAAUCCCUCGGCUUAACCGAGGAACUGCCCUCCAAACUGCUUGGCUUGAGUCCGGGAGAGGUGAGUGGAAUUCCCAGUGUAGCGGUGAAAUGCGUAGAUAUUGGGAGGAACACCAGUGGCGAAGGCGGCUCACUGGACCGGAACUGACGCUGAGGCGCGAAAGCGUGGGGAACAAACGGG